UAGGGAAUCUUCCGCAAUGGGCGAAAGCCUGACGGAGCGACGCCGCGUGCAGGAUGAAGGCCUUCGGGUCGUAAACUGCUUUUAUACAAGAAGAUUAUGACGGUAUUGUAUGAAUAAGGGUUUGCAAACUCCGUGCCAGCAGCCGCGGUCAUACGGAGGACCCAAGCGUUACCCGGAAUUACUGGGCGUAAAGAGUUGCGUAGGCGGUUUGUUAAGUGAGGUGCGAAAUCUAAUGGCUCAACUGUUAGCUGGCAAGCUCAAACUGGCAAACUCGAGGAUGGUAGAGGUGAGUGGAAUUCCCGGAGUAGGGGUGAAAUCCGUAGAUACCGGGAGGAACACCAAUGGCGAAGGCAGCUCACUGGACCAUUCCUGACGCUGAGGCACGAAAGCGUGGGUAGCGAACCGG
Molecule: ribosomal RNA, 406 nt
Filed under: uncultured bacterium
Lineage: Bacteria
Description: bacterial SSU rRNA
Rfam family: Bacterial small subunit ribosomal RNA
Source: RNAcentral